UAGGGAAUCUUCCACAAUGGACGCAAGUCUGAUGGAGCAACGCCGCGUGAGUGAAGAAGGUCUUCGGAUCGUAAAACUCUGUUGUUAGAGAAGAACACGAGUGAGAGUAACUGUUCAUUCGAUGACGGUAUCUAACCAGCAAGUCACGGCUAACUACGUGCCAGCAGCCGCGGUAAUACGUAGGUGGCAAGCGUUGUCCGGAUUUAUUGGGCGUAAAGGGAACGCAGGCGGUCUUUUAAGUCUGAUGUGAAAGCCUUCGGCUUAACCGGAGUAGUGCAUUGGAAACUGGAAGACUUGAGUGCAGAAGAGGAGAGUGGAACUCCAUGUGUAGCGGUGAAAUGCGUAGAUAUAUGGAAGAACACCAGUGGCGAAAGCGGCUCUCUGGUCUGUAACUGACGCUGAGGUUCGAAAGCGUGGGUAGCAAACAGGAUUAGAUACCCUGGUAGUCCACGCCGUAAACGAUGAGUGCUAGGUGUUAGACCCUUUCCGGGGUUUAGUGCCGCAGCUAACGCAUUAAGCACUCCGCCUGGGGANUACGACCGCAAGGUUG
Molecule: ribosomal RNA, 550 nt
Filed under: uncultured bacterium
Lineage: Bacteria
Description: bacterial SSU rRNA
Rfam family: Bacterial small subunit ribosomal RNA
Source: RNAcentral